UCCCUGGUAGUAUAUCGGUUAGUACACGCGCCUGUCAUACUGGCCGACUAUGAAGGAAUUAAACGCGCGAAAGCUGGGUUCGACUCCCAGCCAGGGAG
Non-coding RNA from Dendrothele bispora CBS 962.96, 98 nucleotides. Lineage: Eukaryota; Fungi; Basidiomycota; Agaricomycetes; Agaricales. The record is from the annotation of a GenBank genome assembly.